AAUCAACGCUGGCGGCGUGCCUCAGACAUGCAAGUCGAACGUGAAAGUUUCCUUCGGGGAGCGAGUAGAGUGGCGCACGGGUGAGUAACACGUAGGUGAUUUACCUUUGGGUGGAGAAUAACAGUCGGAAACGAUUGCUAAUACUGCAUAAUGCAGCGGCUCGACAUCGAGACAGUUGUUAAAGUAGGGUUGAAAGACCUUAUGCCUAAAGAAAGCCUGUGGCAGAUAGCUAGAUGGUAAGGUAAUGGCUUACCAUGGCGACGAUCUGUAGCCGGCCUGAGAGGGCGGUCGGCCACACUGACACUGAAUAACGGGUCAGACUCCUACGGGAGGCAGCAGUCGGGAAUUUUGGGCAAU
Molecule: ribosomal RNA, 357 nt
Filed under: uncultured bacterium
Lineage: Bacteria
Description: bacterial SSU rRNA
Rfam family: Bacterial small subunit ribosomal RNA
Source: RNAcentral